CUGUGGCAACAGCGCGGCCGAAUGCAGAUGGCCAAAGAAAGCAGGCACCCUGGUUGCUCUGUGUCACACUCAGCAGCGCCCCUCGGGCCGCGGUAGUGGACUCCUCGAAGCUCCCUCCUAGUCCCAGCCGGAGUUUCAAUGCACCGCAACGGAUCCUUGGAGUUCCAGCUAGGAAGUCCCUGAGCCUAGGCAGCCUAGGCUUCUAGGCUGCUAAGUUGCUGCUGCUUUUUCCGCAGUUAGAGUGGCCUGGCCACUUGUCACAUCACCGGACUCAGCAAUGUAGUAGAAACCUUUCUUGUUGCCUUUUUUUUUUUAACAAGGUGGAAAUGGGACGGGAAAACUCACGUCCCCGGAGUGUGAUUUCCUCCACAAUGAUGAAGUGUCUGCUGUAAGAAACUCCAGGUGACCGCACCUUCCCCAUAGACUGUUGUCCCCAGGGCAGGUUUACCUAUGCGUCAGGAAAGCAGCUUUGCCAAGUGGCAAUGGAACCGCCCCGGGGUCAGGGCUGGAGUCAGGCAGAUUUAAAACUCCGUGAUACUGAUUGCCUCAGAGUGAUGUCUCAUAAACGGUUCUGCAUUUUCCAACACAUUUAACAUAACCAGUGGAAACAAUAUUAACGUGAACUUUUUUCAGCAUUGCUUCCCUGGGCAGCUAAUCUGUCUAGACACAGGCAAAUGUGGCUCUCUGCAAAGUUUUGACCCAGUGGGACUAAGUCAAGACAACCCUGGAGGAACUCGCAACGUGCAACACACAGAAAGCUCAAGGACUGGCAAGCUCUUUAAUAACAAUACAGCUCCGGCAAAUUGUUUUAGCUACAACCAAGGAUGUCUUCAAGGCUGUGAUAGCAUAGCAACAGAGGUAGCAGUGCAGGUAUGGUGGUACGGUUGACAAUAAUUCCAGCUCUUGACCAGAUGAUGCAGCACGAACAAGAGUUGUGUGCAAGCUUGGUCCUCGGAACCAGUUAGGACCAGCCUGAGCUAUGUAGUAAAGACUGACUCAAAGCACCCAGGGCUGACUGUGGACAUCAAUAUGGUGGUUCCUCAGAAGACUGGGAAUCAUUCUACUUCAAGAUCCAGCUCUACCACUUUUGAGCAUAUCUCCAAAGGACCAUCCACCCUAGACAAAGUCAGUUGCUCAACGAUGCUCAUUGUGGCUUUAUUCAUAAUAGCCAGAAACUGGUAACAACGGAGAUGUCCCUCAGCCAAAGGAUGGAUAAAGAAAAUGUGGUACAUUAAUACAAUGGAAUAUUA
RNAcentral lists this small RNA (1250 nucleotides) under Rattus norvegicus (Norway rat). RNAcentral describes it as "uncharacterized LOC102552450". Lineage: Eukaryota; Metazoa; Chordata; Mammalia; Rodentia; Muridae. The record is from RNAcentral.